GAUGAACGCUGGCGGCGUGCCUAAUACAUGCAAGUCGAGCGAACGGACGAGAAGCUUGCUUCUCUGAUGUUAGCGGCGGACGGGUGAGUAACACGUGGAUAACCUACCUAUAAGACUGGGAUAACUUCGGGAAACCGUAGCUAAUACCGGAUAAUAUUUUGAACCGCAUGGUUCAAAAGUGAAAGACGGUCUUGCUGUCACUUAUAGAUGGAUCCGCGCUGCAUUAGCUAGUUGGUAAGGUAACGGCUUACCAAGGCAACGAUGCAUAGCCGACCUGAGAGGGUGAUCGGCCACACUGGAACUGAGACGCGGUCCAGAAUCCUACGGGAGGCAGCAGUAGGGAAUCUUCCGCAAUGGGCGAAAGCCUGAAGGAGCAACGCCGCGUGAGUGAUGAAGGUCUUCGGAUCGUAAAACUCUGUUAUUAGGGAAGAACAUAUGUGUAAGUAACUGUGCACAUCUUGACGGUACCUAAUCAGAAAGCCACGGCUAACUACGUG
This 497-nucleotide ribosomal RNA is filed under the name uncultured bacterium. RNAcentral's name for it is "partial 16S ribosomal RNA". It matches the Rfam family "Bacterial small subunit ribosomal RNA", at positions 28 to 507 of the family's 1533-position model. The record is from RNAcentral.